Long non-coding RNA from Anolis carolinensis (green anole), 2614 nucleotides. RefSeq lists it as uncharacterized. The record is from RefSeq and is a predicted model, not a curated record. NCBI's taxonomy places the organism in Eukaryota, Metazoa, Chordata, Lepidosauria, Squamata, Anolidae. The transcript is spliced from 2 exons.
GUUUCUACUUCAUAACUGUCAUUUCGCUACUGUUACUGUUAUGCUGCUGUUAUGUUUUCGUUUCUACUUCAUAACUGUCAUUUCGCUACUGUUACUGUUAUGCUGCUUAAGCGGCUGAGGGGCAAAAGAAAAGGUCCUGAGGCUGUUAGGAAUGGUGGGAGUUGUAGUCCAAAACACAUGGACGGAAAGCCCAAGUUGGCCCAUGCCUGGUGUAGAUGCACCUUUCCAGUCUCCAUCAAUCAGAAACCAAUCUCAAGACAUCGCUCCCGACUAUUGUUGUCAUCGUCAUCAUCCUAAAAGCGAUUAGCGUGAUUUUAUUACUCCUGAUUGGGCCAUAUUUCGAAAUCAAGCAAAAAGGAAAAAAACAAACCUUCUGCCAUUUCAUUUAGAGGCUUUUAAAAUUAAUGGACUAUCUUGUGUUUUUUUUAAGUGCUGUGGGGAAAUGUCAACCGCUUGCUUCCGCCUGGCAGCCUGUAAUUCAAUCUCCAGCCCUCUGCCAUCGCGUAUUUAUUGUAUUUUAUGUGUUUUAUUUAUGCGCGUACCACCCCGGAACUCAAUCUUCAUCUUGCCAGAGAGUAUUGGCUUACAUGAUUGUAUCGAGUUCUACGCUGUGAUCUUUAAGGGAGAGGAAAAGUGGAUCUACACUGCAGAUUUGAUGCAGUUUGGCACCACUUUCCCUGCCAUGGCUCCGUGCUACGGGAUAAUGGGAUUCGGAGUUCCCAGGCCUCACACCAAACUACAAAUCCCACAAAUUCAUAACAUGGUUGCCAUGGCAGUUAAAGCAGGGUCAAGCUAUGUCCAUUUGACAGUGUGGAUGCAACCAAAGAGGACUCCUGGGCAUGUCAAGAGUGCAUGUCUUUAAAGCACUCUGGGUCCCGUGUCCUACAACAAGGAAGGCUGGAGGCAGUUCCUAUUUCAGAGACAUGAAACAAGGCCUUGAUUCCUAUCCGAUUUGAUAUCAAUAUGGCCAAUAGCCCAUUAAAAUCUAUUGCACUAUAUCGCCCCCUAGUGGUUAUUCUGGUGACAACAGGCUCCAAUUAGUCCUGACGCAAAGGACCAUUACAAGUCCAUAUUACAAAAUGCUACACAUUGCCCCCUGUAGGUGACCCUGAGAAUUGCAAAAAAAGCUGUCCAAUUGAGACUCAAUGGAACAGCUCCCCCUGUAGGCAACCCCUGGAACUACAGUCUACAAAAUAUGGCUGAUCCUCGUAAUCGAUUUCGCAUGGUCUCAGCAUUUUCUGCUCCCAUCCUUGCACUUGCCUAGGAAAAAUCACCAACGUGCAAAGAGACCUUAUCAUUUCACGAUUAUUAACAGCAUUAAGAAUGAUACCCCUGCAUUUGACCUAUGAGAAUUACAGUCUGCAUUCAUCAUCACCCAAAAUAAGGUAGGUCCUAGAUUUUGCAAGAUCCCAAUAUGACUUGCCCCCAUUUGCACACUCAUUUGAAGAAAAAGCCAACAUGGAACAAACCCUAUUAUUUCAAUAUAGUUCACUAUUAUUAUCACCAGAAGUAUGCCCCCUGUUGUUGACCCCAAGACAUUACAAUUGGCAAGCAAUAUUUAGAGAAGUCACACUCGUAAACCACCAUUGGAAAGAACCAAGGAACCAAGAUGGCUCAGGCAAAGUCCCAUUUCUGCCCCUUCCUUCAAAUAGCAUUCACUAUGAUUGUCAACCGCAACUGAACAAUGCCCCCUGCUGUUGACCCCUGGAACUGCAAUCUGGGUUAAGCACCACCACCCAGAACAUGGUUGAUCCCAGAUAUUUCACGCUCUCAACAUCACCUCAUCCCAUUCUUGCACCCACCUGGAGAAAUCACCAACAUGUAGACCCAUCGUUUCAAUAGGGUUCACUAUUACUAUUGAUCUUGAGAACAAUGCCCCCUGCUGGUGACCCUGAGGCAUUGCAAUCGACAGGCAGUUUUAGAGAAACCACACUCAAACACCGCCAUUGGGAAGAACCAAGGAAAACACCGGGCCCAAGCAACGUCCCAUUCCCAUGAAAGAAUAGGGUUCACUAUUGGUAUUGACUUUAAGAACAAUGCCCCCUGCUGUUGAACCCAAUGCAUUGCAGAGGCUUAUUUGAGAAGCCACGCUUGGAGGAACCAAAGCCACACUUAGUGAAGAAACCAACAAAACAGAGGCCCAUGUAGUGUGUCCCAUUACCCUGCCAAAAAUAGCUUUAUUGCUAUCAACCUCAAGAACGAUGCCCCCUGCUGUUGACCCCGAGGCACUGCAAUUUUAAGAAGCCACAUUCGAACAUCACCAUCAGCAAGAACCAAGGAAUAUAGAGGAUUCAUGAAGCAUCCCAUUUCCCCAAACAAAAGGGGUUCAUUAUGGCUUUCGACCUCAAGAACAAUGCCCCCUGCUGCUGACACCCAGGCAUUGCAGAUGAUGUUAGAGAAGACACACUCAAACAUCACCAUAUAGAGGACUCAUGAAGCAUCUGUCAUGAUCUCCAGUCUUUGACAUCUCUGGUCGGCUGACAAAGAACAGAUGCCAGCCAUAAAACGGGCCAGCCAUAAAACCUCAAUUACCCUCUGGUAUGUGAGAGCCCCUAUAUAAAUGGGCCAAAGAGAAGGUUCUGGUAUUCUGUACAAUAAAACCUGUUGGAAUCUA